Symphalangus syndactylus (siamang) is the source of this 844-nucleotide long non-coding RNA. RefSeq lists it as uncharacterized. Lineage: Eukaryota; Metazoa; Chordata; Mammalia; Primates; Hylobatidae. The record is from RefSeq and is a predicted model, not a curated record.
UGACAGGUCCUGUGAACAGACGCUCUCAGGAAGAUUUCAAAGCUAGAUGCCAAUUCCGAUUUCCUUUCCACCCUGAAGCCUGAAAGCUCAGCACGCCACGGAGCAAACUGACACCUGAAGGGCCAGGGGUGACACUGCUCCCGGUUCAGAGGACACAGUGGCUUCCUGGCCGCCUGCAGGGCAUCCAGGACACAGCGUCCAUCCCCUCCUGAAGUCACAAUCCACACAGAGACAAUCUGCGGAGCAGGAGGUCACGCCCUGGUCUGCAGCACCUGUGGGUUUCCAGCUGCCCCGGGGCCUCACUGUGCCACCGGAGUGGAGAGAGGUGGGCAGUGCCGCCCACAGCAUUUCCACCAUACGGAGGCAACAGACAGGGAAGUUUAAGCAUGGAGACAGUCACGCAACACUGCCAUCUUUUACCCAAAUAAAUAGUCAUCACUUUACAGUCUUGUGCCAAAGCAUUAUCCAUUAGCCAGACCACCUGAGAAAGGCAAAAGACUGCCAACAUCUGGAAACCUUGCAGCCUUUCAAGGGCGCCUAUCUGCUUAUAAAACAACGACGUGUCCAUUAUAGCUUUAGGUCUGCACUCUGUGUCUAGCUCCUAAAACUAGAGUCUGCCAGGUUCCACGCUGAUGAUGCUCAUCUUCCUGGGUACAGAACAAAGACAAGAUAAGGUCAACCAUUCUUCUGCCACCUGCCUUCCUACAAGCCUUCCCCCUGUAAGGAAAUGUGUAAAUUCUAAACCUCAUGAAAACCUGUUUGGAUAACAUCGGACAUAGACAUGUCUAUGACUUGUGUUUUUCCCCAACACACCCUCAAGCUCUGGCUUAAUAAAACUUGAUCG